RNAcentral lists this long non-coding RNA (685 nucleotides) under Hordeum vulgare. Its description in RNAcentral is "long non-coding RNA (HVUL_LNC015754)". Lineage: Eukaryota; Viridiplantae; Streptophyta; Magnoliopsida; Poales; Poaceae. The record is from RNAcentral.
AGGUGAAAGGACGGAACCGAUCUGAUCUGGAGAUCGAUGCGGAAAGGUGGAGACGGAUAAAUCGACUGUGAGGGAUUGGGCUGGAGACAGAAGGAAUCGAUCUAGAGGAGCACGAGUUGCGCAUGUGAGAAAAAACUGGCUCGUGAUACCAUGUUAUGGAUGCAACUUGAUUGUAUUGCACAGUCCAUGGGGUAAACAUGUAGUACAAUAGACUCAGGGUACAACGAAGGAAAUUUAGACCUAGACCUAUAUAUACUAAUACUCCUUAACACAUACAACCUUUUCAAUACAUGCCAGGAGUCUAUAACUCAGCAUGAAUGAGGUAGUUGAACACUAUAUAAUGGUAUCUACUCAAUGUCGUACAAGCAAGACUUUUAAGAGACAGAACCUAGUUAGUGAUUGCCCAAAAACCUCCAUCUUUGUAUAUGAAGGUAGCCUCUGUUUCUUGAGAAUAAGCAGCAAGAACAGAAGACAUCAGUGUUUGAUGCAAUUAUGUGCUUUUGUUCAUUUGGGAAACAAUUAACAGAUAUACACGUCAAAAGGAGCACAAGAAAAUUUAGCUGACAUUGACAACAGUACACGAUAUAUCUCCAUUUCUGUAUUACCGAUAAAGCGAUGACCAGUUGUAACAAUACAUCAGUAUAAUUGCUUAAAUUGAUCAAGUUACGAUGUCUUGUACUCCCUC